AGUGAACGCUGGCGGUAGGCCUAACACAUGCAAGUCGAACGGCAGCACAGUAAGAGCUUGCUCUUACGGGUGGCGAGUGCGGACGGGUGAGGAAUACAUCGGAAUCUACUUUUUCGUGGGGGAUAACGUAGGGAAACUUACGCUAAUACCGCAUACGACCUACGGGUGAAAGCAGGGGAUCUUCGGACCUUGCGCGAUUGAAUGAGCCGAUGUCUGAUUAGCUAGUUGGCGGGGUAAAGGCCCACCAAGGCGACGAUCCGUAGCUGGUCUGAGAGGAUGAUCAGCCACACUGGAACUGAGACACGGUCCAGACUCCUACGGGAGGCAGCAGUGGGGAAUAUUGGACAAUGGGCGCAAGCCUGAUCCAGCCAUACCGCGUGGGUGAAGAAGGCCUUCGGGUUGUAAAGCCCUUUUGUUGGGAAAGAAAAGCAGCAGGUUAAUACCCCGCUGUUCUGACGGUACCCAAAGAAUAAGCACCGGCUAACUUCGUG
This 491-nucleotide ribosomal RNA is filed under the name uncultured bacterium. Its description in RNAcentral is "partial 16S ribosomal RNA". It matches the Rfam family "Bacterial small subunit ribosomal RNA", at positions 29 to 507 of the family's 1533-position model. The record is from RNAcentral.